AACGAACGCUGGCGGCAUGCCUAACACAUGCAAGUCGAACGAGACCUUCGGGUCUAGUGGCGCACGGGCGCGUAACGCGUGGGAACCUGCCCUUAGGUUCGGAAUAACUCCCCGAAAGGGGUGCUAAUACCGGAUAAUGUCUUCGGACCAAAGAUUUAUCGCCUUUGGAUGGGCCCGCGUUGGAUUAGCUAGUUGGUAGGGUAAAAGCCUACCAAGGCGACGAUCCAUAGCUGGUCUGAGAGGAUGAUCAGCCACACUGGGACUGAGACACGGCCCAGACUCCUACGGGAGGCAGCAGUGGGGAAUAUUGGACAAUGGGCGAAAGCCUGAUCCAGCAAUGCCGCGUGAGUGAUGAAGGCCUUAGGGUUGUAAAGCUCUUUUACCCGGGAUGAUAAUGACAGUACCGGGAGAAUAAGCGCCGGCUAACUCCGU
This 432-nucleotide ribosomal RNA is filed under the name uncultured bacterium. RNAcentral describes it as "partial 16S ribosomal RNA". It matches the Rfam family "Bacterial small subunit ribosomal RNA", at positions 29 to 506 of the family's 1533-position model. The record is from RNAcentral.